AAAUAACAAUACAGGGCCUAACGGUCUUGUAAUUGGAAUGAGUGAAGUAUAAACCCCUUUACGAGUAUCAAUUGGAGGGCAAGUCUGGUGCCAGCAGCCGCGGUAAUUCCAGCUCCAAUAGCGUAUAUUAAAGUUGUUGCAGUUAAAAAGCUCGUAGUUGGAUUUCUGUUGUAUAAUUUUAUAAUAUUACCAAGGUAAUUAUUAUAUUAUCAACAUCCUUCCUAUUAUAUUCUAAAUAUAUAGGAAACUUUACUUUG
RNAcentral lists this ribosomal RNA (257 nucleotides) under Cryptosporidium andersoni. RNAcentral describes it as "partial 18S ribosomal RNA". It matches the Rfam family "Eukaryotic small subunit ribosomal RNA", at positions 475 to 759 of the family's 1831-position model. Lineage: Eukaryota; Apicomplexa; Conoidasida; Eucoccidiorida; Cryptosporidiidae. The record is from RNAcentral.